GGGAGAGAGAGGGCCACCCUAUCUCCCAUGCCACCCUGCCCACCGUCCCGUGAUGAGGGGCCAGUUAGUCACUGGAACAGUCGUGUUGGAGCAGACCAGGGCUGGCCCACACCAUCUGAGCCUCAAGGAGGGGCCGGGGCAAACCCUGGGGGUCACCGCAUGUGCUCGGACAGCUGCGAUGGGCAGAAAAUGAGCACAUUCAGCAGGACUCUGAAAUUCUAGCUCCAAGCUCAGAGCUGUCCACACCCUGCUCCCUGGAGUCUGUAAUAGGGAACACCUACGAGAAGCUCAGUGGAACAAAUAAUGUCACCAGUGGAUCGGGACCAGACACGCCCUGGCUGUCAGCAAGGUCAGGGACAACAAAGUAGCAGGUCCAGGUCCCAGAACGCGGACAGCAACAGUGGGUCUCCUACAGCUGGCACCUCGAACAGGGAGAGGGGACGCCUUCAGCUAUAUGAUCUGUUUCACAACAACAGGCUUGCCCGAGAGCUGACGUUGCUUUGGAAGUUCACAUGGCAGAGGAAUGACCUGCUCCCACCUGAGAGGAUCUGGCCGGCCACGGAUUCUUGCUCCUGAUCCACAUACUCCCUCGUGACCCUGGCAGAACUGUAAGUCAUUCUUGAGCCACAGGGCCUCAGGUGUCAGCAGCA
This 650-nucleotide long non-coding RNA is filed under the name Heterocephalus glaber (naked mole-rat). Its description in RNAcentral is "lncRNA (ENSHGLG00000045553.1)". Lineage: Eukaryota; Metazoa; Chordata; Mammalia; Rodentia; Bathyergidae. The record is from RNAcentral.